GCGCGCAUAGCUCAGUGGUAGAGCGCUUCGUUCACAUCGAAGAGGCCCAUGGUUCAAGUCCAUGUGCGCGCA
RNAcentral lists this transfer RNA (72 nucleotides) under Candidatus Gottesmanbacteria bacterium. RNAcentral's name for it is "tRNA-Val". It matches the Rfam family "tRNA". Rfam says of the family: Transfer RNA (tRNA) molecules are approximately 80 nucleotides in length. Their secondary structure includes four short double-helical elements and three loops (D, anti-codon, and T loops). The record is from RNAcentral. Lineage: Bacteria; Candidatus Gottesmaniibacteriota.